CUUCAUCGACGAGGACCACUGUGGUCAGCGCGGAUGGCAUUUUACUUGUUUUCGUCCAUUGAGCCCCAGCUGAACAGGAGCAUCUUCUCUUCAAUUUCUUAGGUUGGGGACUCCGAGAAAGGGCAUCCACACUGGAAGCAAAUCUGCGAGCUCCGCUUGCAUAUUGCAACACUCUCCUAGCUUCUUUGGGGUCAAUUAAGUCGUCGACAUCGGGACAAAAUGACAGAGCCACUCGGAAGCAUGUAUUGGACCAAAAAUAGAGUUAGCAAUUUGAUCACAGAGAUUCUUGUAUUCAAGCAAAAGUAAUAUAAAUAAGGGAUUGAC
Molecule: long non-coding RNA, 324 nt
Filed under: Nicotiana benthamiana
Lineage: Eukaryota; Viridiplantae; Streptophyta; Magnoliopsida; Solanales; Solanaceae
Description: long non-coding RNA (NBEN_LNC008328)
Source: RNAcentral